This 1276-nucleotide long non-coding RNA is filed under the name Salmo salar (Atlantic salmon). Its description in RNAcentral is "lncRNA (ENSSSAG00000094160.1)". Lineage: Eukaryota; Metazoa; Chordata; Actinopteri; Salmoniformes; Salmonidae. The record is from RNAcentral.
CCUGGUGUUAAAUGUUUUUAAAUGUUUUAUUAAAGAGUCACAUUGACAAGUUAUAUCAUCAUAGCUGUCCCAAACAGACAUUUCAAAGUAUCUUGCAGUAAAUGACUGUUUAAGUACAUUACAAAUAAAACUCAAGAGAAAAGAGAAAUAUGUAGAGAGAAAGAACAGCAAAUUCAGCAUGAUCCUGGUCCACACAGCAAAACCAUCAGAAAGCUAGCAUGCUAGGUAUCAGUCCAGAGGAACCAUCAGAAAGCUAGCUAGCUAGGAAUCAGUCCAGAGGAACCAUCAGAAAGCUAGCUAGCUAGCUAGGAAUCAGUCCAGAGGAACCAUCAGAAAGCCAGCUAGCUAGGAAUCAGUCCAGAGGAACCAUCAGAAAGCUAGCUAGCUAGGAAUCAGUCCAGAGGAACCAUCAGAAAGCUAGCUAGCUAGGAAUCAGUCCAGAGGAACCAUCAGAAAGCCAGCUAGCUAGAUAUCAGUCCAGAGGAACCAUCAGAAAGCUAGCUAGCUAGGAAUCAGUCCAGAGGAACCAUCAGAAAGCUAGCUAGCUAGGUAUCAGUCCAGAGGGACACACAUUACGCAAGUAGAUGUUUCGUCUUCAGUUCAGUGUGGGACCGACGUUACACAGGUAGAUGUUUGUCUUCAGUUCAGUGUGGGACACAGAAGAAGCAGGCAGCAGUAGUAGUAGCAUAAAUAAGAUAUCAGCUCUUACGGUUUGUCUUCGGGAACCAUUUAAAAAACGAUAGAAACAGAAUGAUUCUUGUAUGUUGUGAGAUAUUUAAAACAAUAGACAGACAACAUGAUUGAAUGAAUCAAUAGUAGGCGAACUAGGUGGACCAACUUUUGUUUUAAACAACAACCUUUUUGACGUUUCAGUCAGAGAGUCUUAAUUUCACAGCUACCUAAAGAAUCCAAACGAAAACAUCUGUGUUGACUUUUCCUUGAAUAAGCCAUUCAGAAGCUUCCUCUUCCUGGUCCGUUAAACCGUUAAACCGUUAAACAGUUAAACAGUUACCAAGCUUGUGUUAGAACACGUCAAAGAUCCUGAGACGACACAGUUCUACAAAACUGAGCUAAAUAUAGCACACAGAUCUCUUUCUUUACAAAAAAUUAAUGGGGGAGGUGAACGUGGGGAUACAAGCCCCCCAACUGGAAUUACAGAUCUCUGUUGUUAUGUGUUCCAUUUAAUAACAAAUAUGAAAGAUAAUACAAGCAUGGCCACAGUAAUAUAUACCAUGAAAUGAGAAGCAACAGUCACAUUUCUUCAGGAGGAAAAAAA